Non-coding RNA from Cinara cedri, 257 nucleotides. NCBI's taxonomy places the organism in Eukaryota, Metazoa, Arthropoda, Insecta, Hemiptera, Aphididae. The record is from the annotation of a GenBank genome assembly.
AGGAACCGACCAACCCCUACUUGUUACAAACAUUAAAUUAUAACUGACAUCGUACGGCGCAGUGUAGUUACGUAAUAAUAUGCCAACAUGAACGUUUCUGUAAUUGCCUAGGUCUCGCCCCUGUCGAGUUAAUAGGAUUUUCACACUAGCCUAUGUAUUUAAUAUUGUUUGUCUAUAUUUUAUAGAUGUUUUCAAACACAGAUAUAAAUUCUUCAAUAAUAUUGUUAUCUACGGAAAACAACAUUGAUAUUCAUCGG